Megalobrama amblycephala (Wuchang bream) is the source of this 1743-nucleotide long non-coding RNA. RefSeq lists it as uncharacterized. NCBI's taxonomy places the organism in Eukaryota, Metazoa, Chordata, Actinopteri, Cypriniformes, Xenocyprididae. The record is from RefSeq and is a predicted model, not a curated record. The transcript is spliced from 8 exons.
AGCUUGAGAGCGCUCGCGCCUAAAAGAACACAGCCUUCACCUGACGCAAGCGCAAUUAUCACCUGACCUAAAGCGCGAUAUCCGAUUCUUGAACGAAUCGUGCUUUUGAGUCAAUGAAUCGGUUGAACUGGCUCACAAAGGUUUGUUCAUUGAAUCGGUCCGAGCGGGAGCCAAAAACCGAGCCAUUAAACAGAGAAAACGCCACUUUCAUUAGCUCUGACUUGUGAUGAUGAGCGAGCUGACAAGAUUAGGACUGAACCGAGGAUUUGACUGAGGAGCAAAGUAGAGCUACGGUGUCCUUUUCCUCCUCCCUGAGCCUCUGCAUGUUUACACACUGCCUCAGAUCACCAGUCAGGCUAUCUGCACUGCUGUCGUCUCCCAGGACCCCAUAAUACUCUCCAGCAACAGAACAUCUGGAGAGGGUCCCUAACACCCAGACUAUAAGGGAGUUCACUCAGAUUUACUCUUUCAGUGUGUUUCUUUGUCUUUGUCAGGACUGACAUGACAGAUGGCUCUGGCUUCUGGGGUAGGAGUUGGCACUAGUGCAUGGACCAUGGUGGUCUUUUUUACUGGGUCCAUGGCAGGUGCAGGGCUGAUGUGCUCCUCUUCCGCUGCCUCGCAGAUGGUGAGGGGAACCACAGUGCAGGAUAAUCCACUCCAUAUAAUCCACAAAAGUCGGGCAGGAGUGCCUUGGACCGCUCGUUGAGGCUCGUCUGGUAGAAGGGAGCGGUCAGGGCAGUGAGUAAGGCAAGCCAGGUCGGGAAAAUCCUUUGUGUGGUCCUCGAGGUAACACUCCUCUUGCUCCAGGAGGAGGAGGCAUACUGAUGGUGCCUUCACAAGUCAUUAGGUUUCUCUCCAAAACCUUUACUCUCUCAGCUCCUCUCUGGUGGAAUGAGCUGCCAACCUCCAUUUGAUCUACUGAGAUCAGCACAACUUUCAAAAAGCAGUCCCUGCCAAAUCCAUUAUAGACCCACCUGGGCUGAUGGCUAACUAUCUCAGAAGUGAUCAGUGAGAUCACAGAGAUCAUAAGAGUCAUUGCUCAUAUAUUUAUCCUGGCAUUGGCUCUCACUCAGGGCACCAGAUAUUCCAUGCAUGGAUAUCACUUCAAGAGCUAGCGGCGCUGUGUGCAGGACACCCUUAGCAUCUCAGCCAGGGUCUAAAAAGAACGCUUGUCAUGUGGCAAAUGCAAGUAAAAUUAGGCAGACCUCUGGAUAUUCAACCAGCUCUCAUAUGCAUACGUGCUGACUUUGCAAAAGCAGUCUGCGCUUCCCGCUGCGAGAGGAUGCUUCAGUGACCCUAGCAGAUCAGAUCUGUGACCCAAUUUCUGGUGAAACCUCUGAUCUAUAGUGUAUCACAAUGAUGAACAACAGCAAACCCGUGCAUGAAUGUGAACACUUACCAGUACCAGUACCAGUACCAGUAGGACUUGUUGCCUCUCCUCUCUCUGGCCUCCUCAGCCUGCCACUGGUGGACCUCGCAAUGCCUGUCAGCACAGAAGACAUAAUAGAAACGCGUAUCAGAAUGAUCUAAUGAGGAGGAAGGAUAUAGAGGAAGAUGUAAAGGACACGGUGUCCAGAAGAAAUGAAGUAGAGGGAAGCAGAUGUGUUUGGAACAGACAUCAGAGGAAUGAAGCUCUGCCCACUCAAUUAAGGGCUGCAUGUGUCUGUAAAAUCAAGUCAGAUGGGUCACAAACACAUAGACAGAUCAAACGCUGCUGUCUUUUGAAAUCUGUCUUGAAAUCUA